This 234-nucleotide unclassified non-coding RNA is filed under the name fungal sp. Its description in RNAcentral is "partial internal transcribed spacer region". The stretch from base 1 to 46 matches the Rfam family "Eukaryotic small subunit ribosomal RNA", at positions 1786 to 1831 of the family's 1831-position model. The record is from RNAcentral. Lineage: Eukaryota; Fungi.
AAGUCGUAACAAGGUAACCGUAGGUGAACCUGCGGUUGGAUCAUUAAAAAUCCAAGAGUAUUGGGUUGCUUGCAAUGCCUUUACUCUAACUGGCCUUUGGGCCUUUAACCUUCUGUGAACUGUUAUUUUAUCUGGUCAUGGUGAAAACUAUGGCUAGUUAUUUUAAACCUAUUUUUAUUGUCUGAUCUUGAAAUUUAAUUUCUACAACUUUUGACAAUGGAUCUCUAGGCUCUC